AAGNGUGCGUAGGCGGNUGAUUAAGUCGGAUGUGAAGUCCCUGAGCUUAACUUAGGAAUUGCAUUCGAUACUGGUCAGCUAGAGUAUGGGAGAGGAUGGUAGAAUUCCAGGUGUAGCGGUGAAAUGCGUAGAGAUCUGGAGGAAUACCGAUGGCGAAGGCAGNCAUCUGGCCUAAUACUGACGCUGAGGUACGAAAGCAUGGGGAGCAAACAGGAUUAGAUACCCUGGUAGUCCAUGCCGUAAACGAUGUCUACUAGUCGUGGGGNCUUUGAGGUUUAGUGGCGCAGNUAACGCGAUAAGUAGACCGCCUGGGGAGUACGGCCGCAAGACUAAAACUCAAAUNAAUUG
This 348-nucleotide ribosomal RNA is filed under the name uncultured bacterium. RNAcentral describes it as "bacterial SSU rRNA". It matches the Rfam family "Bacterial small subunit ribosomal RNA", at positions 563 to 912 of the family's 1533-position model. The record is from RNAcentral.